UAAGGAAUAUUGGUCAAUGGACGCAAGUCUGAACCAGCCAUGCCGCGUGGAGGAUGAAGGCCCUCUGGGUUGUAAACUUCUUUUAUGGGGGACGAAAUCACUUAUUCUUAAGUGUCUGACGGUACCCCAGGAAUAAGCACCGGCUAACUCCGUGCCAGCAGCCGCGGUAAUACGGAGGGUGCAAGCGUUAUCCGGAUUCACUGGGUUUAAAGGGUGCGUAGGAGGGCAGGGGGAAGUCAGUGGUGAAAUCUCCGGGCUUAACUCGGAAACUGCCGUUGAUACUCUCUGUCUUGAAUCCCGUGGAGGUGAGCGGAAUAUGUCAUGUAGCGGUGAAAUGCUUAGAUAUGACAUAGAACACCAAUUGCGAAGGCAGCUCACUACACGAAGAUUGACUCUGAGGCACGAAAGCGUGGGGAUCAAACAGGAUUAGAUACCCUGGUAGUCCACGCCCUAAACGAUGGAUACUCGACAUACGCGAUACACUGUGUGUGUCUGAGCGAAA
Molecule: ribosomal RNA, 502 nt
Filed under: uncultured bacterium
Lineage: Bacteria
Description: bacterial SSU rRNA
Rfam family: Bacterial small subunit ribosomal RNA
Source: RNAcentral